AGUAGCUGCCUUAGGGGGUCUUUACCUUAGCAAUUCAUUUGGCAGAAAGAAGCAAUCUCGUGCAUUUUGAGGAGAAGAAAAGAACCCAUGUGCUAGGGUUCAAGUGGGACGAAGCCCAGAAGAAUGAUCAGACCUGGGAAGGAGGUCAGCUCAUAAGGUGAUCGGAUCAGAAGGAUGAUCAGACGUGCAAAGCUUGAACGAUUCCUGGUCAUAGUUAGUUGGAGUGGAAUCGAGAAGCUUCCGAGUAUUCCAAACUUGGAAAUCGAUGACAUAAAAUGUCUAGCAGAGUAAUACUGAACAGAAAAAGCGACGUAAACAGAGUACUCUCUGAUCCAUUCAGUCACACUCAACGCUUGCACCAUCUUCAUCGCACGACAACCAAAUCAUUUUUCGAAUACAUUCAUUCAAUAGGUAUCAUGGAGAGUAAUGGGAACUUGGUAAAGCAUGUCGAGAAACAAACCACUCGAGUUUUGUUUUGUGGACCCCAUUUCCCUGCUUCUCAUGAAUAUACAGCAGAGUAUUUGCAAAAUCAUCCCAGUACCAAGGUUGAUGUUCUCUCUUUUGAAGAUGUGCGCAAGGAUAUUGCCAACUAUAAUGUCUGCAUAGUAAAAAGCAUUAGGCUAGAUUCUGAUAUAAUUUCUUGUACCGCUCAGAUGCAGCUGAUAAUGCAGUAUGGUGUUGGGCUGGAAGGUGUUGAUAUUGAUGCCGCAACAAAGCAUGGAAUCAAAGUUGCCAGGAUCCCAAGUGAUGUUACAGGAAAUUCAACUUCAUGUACUGAAAUGGCCAUAUAUCUAAUGCUAGGUCUCCUCCGAAAGCAUAAUGAACUGCAAGUUUCCAUACAACAGAAGAAGCUUGGAGAGCUAAUUACUGAAACUCUAUUUGGUAAAACUGGUGCGCUUCUGGUAAAUAUUGCUAGAGGUGGUAUUGUGGACUAUGAGGCUGUGAUAAACAACCUUGAAUCAGGUCACUUAGGAGGGUUAGGCACUGAUGUUGCUUGGACUGAGCCGUUUAACCCUGAUGACCAGAUAUUUAAAUUUAAGAAUGUUAUCAUGACUCCUCAUGUUGCAGGCGUCACAGAACAUUCUUAUAGAUCCAUGGCUAAGGCUGUUGGUGAAGUUGUUCUUCAGCUUCAUGCAGGGCUUCCUUUGACAGGAAUAGAGUUAGUUAAUUGAUUUACGACAAACAAAUCAUUUCAUUAUUGUCCACUUCCUGAAUUUUAUGAUUUAAGAAAAAUUAUGAGACUGUUAGUGAUGUUGCUCUUCAGCUUCAUGCCGGGCUUCCUUUGACAGGGAUACAGUUAGUUAAUUGAUUUAGUGCUAACAAAUCAUUUCCACUUCCUGAAUUUUAUGAUUUAAGAAGAAUUCUAAGGUGCCAAGACACUGCAAUUUGAAAAGAAAAUUGAGAUCAGACUAUGUUAUGUGUUGUCCAUUUGUUGUUUAGUGUAAUGAGCUGUGGAAACCAAAUUUAUGUUGCCUAUUAUAUGCAGACAACUAAUGUUUAUUA
Molecule: RNA transcript, 1503 nt
Organism: Vigna angularis (adzuki bean)
Lineage: Eukaryota; Viridiplantae; Streptophyta; Magnoliopsida; Fabales; Fabaceae
Exons: 9
Source: RefSeq, a predicted model, not a curated record